ACGCUGGCGGCGUGCUUAACACAUGCAAGUCGAACGGUAACAGGAAGAAGCUUGCUUCUUUGCUGACGAGUGGCGGACGGGUGAGUAAUGUCUGGGAAACUGCCUGAUGGAGGGGGAUAACUACUGGAAACGGUAGCUAAUACCGCAUAACGUCGCAAGACCAAAGAGGGGGACCUUCGGGCCUCUUGCCAUCGGAUGUGCCCAGAUGGGAUUAGCUAGUAGGUGGGGUAACGGCUCACCUAGGCGACGAUCCCUAGCUGGUCUGAGAGGAUGACCAGCCACACUGGAACUGAGACACGGUCCAGACUCCUACGGGAGGCAGCAGUGGGGAAUAUUGCACAAUGGGCGCAAGCCUGAUGCAGCCAUGCCGCGUGUAUGAAGAAGGCCUUCGGGUUGUAAAGUACUUUCAGCGGGGAGGAAGGGAGUAAAGUUAAUACCUUUACUCAUUGACGUUACCCGCAGAAGAAGCACCGGCUAACUCCGUG
RNAcentral lists this ribosomal RNA (485 nucleotides) under uncultured bacterium. RNAcentral describes it as "bacterial SSU rRNA". It matches the Rfam family "Bacterial small subunit ribosomal RNA", at positions 33 to 507 of the family's 1533-position model. The record is from RNAcentral.